Long non-coding RNA from Otolemur garnettii (small-eared galago), 385 nucleotides. RefSeq lists it as uncharacterized. The transcript is spliced from 3 exons. The record is from RefSeq and is a predicted model, not a curated record. Lineage: Eukaryota; Metazoa; Chordata; Mammalia; Primates; Galagidae.
GGGCCUGCAGUGGCUCAGAGGCCACAGAGAAGCAGACGCUUGCAGAAGAGGCUGAGGAAGGAGGACUGCGAUGAGUACAUCACAGUGGCAUGACACAGCACAGAGGGCGAGAAUUCAGCAGAGGUAGCAGCCGGCCAGACGCGCCAGGAGAGCAUAAUUCAUCCUCCCUCUCAGGCUCACAUUUGCAGAAAUCUCGAGAGAGCGAGAGAGACAUCUAAGGCCUUCUCCUCCUGCUGCGUCUUCAUUUACACAUAUCCUGCCUAAGUUUCAUGUUGGGACCGGCCCCAGAUACUUUGCACACGCGCAUCUAUGGCUAAAGGAGUUGGUGAGUGACUUUUCCUAGUGAAAUUUUAAUAAGGGGAAAAAAGACGUUGUGUGUGUGAUA